GACGAACCGUCCAAAUGUUAUUCGGAAUUACUGGGCUUAAAGGGUGCGUAGGCGGCCGUCUAAGUAGGGUGUGAAAGCUCCUGGCUCAACCGGGGAAUGGCGCUCUAAACUGGACGGCUUGAGUAAGAUAGGGGUGUGCGGAACUUCCGGUGGAGCGGUGAAAUGUGUUGAUAUCGGAAGGAACGCCGUUGGCGAAAGCGGCACACUGGGUCUUGUCUGACGCUGAGGCACGAAAGCCAGGGGAGCGAACGGG
This 253-nucleotide unclassified non-coding RNA is filed under the name uncultured Planctomycetales bacterium. Its description in RNAcentral is "contains 16S-23S intergenic spacer region". It matches the Rfam family "Bacterial small subunit ribosomal RNA", at positions 524 to 776 of the family's 1533-position model. Lineage: Bacteria; Pseudomonadati; Planctomycetota; Planctomycetia; Planctomycetales. The record is from RNAcentral.